Molecule: small nuclear RNA, 82 nt
Organism: Fukomys damarensis (Damara mole-rat)
Lineage: Eukaryota; Metazoa; Chordata; Mammalia; Rodentia; Bathyergidae
Gene: U4
Rfam family: U4 spliceosomal RNA
About the family: U4 small nuclear RNA (U4 snRNA) is a component of the major U2-dependent spliceosome.
Source: Ensembl
AGCUUUGUGCAGUGGCAGUAUCGUAGCCAAUGAGGUUUAUCCGAGGCGUGAUUAUUGCUAAUUGAAAACUUUUCCCAAAGUA